This 288-nucleotide ribosomal RNA is filed under the name uncultured bacterium. Its description in RNAcentral is "partial 16S ribosomal RNA". It matches the Rfam family "Bacterial small subunit ribosomal RNA", at positions 29 to 334 of the family's 1533-position model. The record is from RNAcentral.
AACGAACGCUGGCGGCAGGCCUAAUACAUGCAAGUUGAACGUGAUCAAUACUUCGGUAUUGUGAAAGUAGCGCACGGGUGAGUAACACGUGGGAAUUUACACUUCAGUACGGAACAACAGUUGGAAACGACUGCUAAUACCGUAUAAUGACUCCGGUCCAAAGAUUUAUCGCUGAAGGAUAAGCCCGCGUCUGAUUAGCUAGUUGGUAGGGUAAAGGCCUACCAAGGCGACGAUCAGUAGCUGGUUUGAGAGGAUGAUCAGCCACACUGGGACUGAGACACGGCCCAG